RNAcentral lists this long non-coding RNA (1162 nucleotides) under Piliocolobus tephrosceles (Ugandan red Colobus). Its description in RNAcentral is "lncRNA (ENSPTEG00000008749.1)". Lineage: Eukaryota; Metazoa; Chordata; Mammalia; Primates; Cercopithecidae. The record is from RNAcentral.
UUAAUUAACCCUAUUUUUUUAACAAACUAUUUAUUCUUAGUAAAAGAUAAUCAACUGCUUGGAAAUAAUGACUAUUUUAAUAUAACUUUAUUUAUUAAUUUAUUUGAAGUAAAAGAUAAACAAAAGUAUUUAUUUUUUUUUUUUUUUUUAUUCUAUUUUAUAUUAACAGAUAAUAAAAAAAAAUCUAUUAAAUUAUAUUAUAAAAUAUUAUUAGACUUGUAUAACGAUUUUUGUAACAUAUUACCAAAUAAUAAUGCAAACGGUAGUUAUUCAACAGAUGGUGGGAAGGUUCAAAAUCAACAAAAUUGUGAGGAAGUACCAAACGAAUUAAAUGAAGAGAGACAAAAAUGUGGAUAUACAUACAACACUAAUUGUGUUUAUGAUGAAUCUUCUAAAGAUGAAAUAGGAAACUUUUUUUGUAGUAUACACAAUUGUGUUUUUUUUUUACGUUCAAGUAUUUUAUUCUUACCCUUAACUAUAAUACUGAAACAAAAUAAUAUUAAGACUUCAGAUGAGUAUUUUGUUAGUAAGAAAAAAUGUGCAUAUUUUUUUGACAUAUAUGAAAGUAGUAAUUGUAGUAUUGAUAGUACUGAACAAGUAAAUCCCAAUGGCGAUCUAACCGAUGCUGAUCUAACAGUUGGAAAGAGUAAUAGUGGUAAAAAUACGAUUACUAAAAAAAAUAAUAUUAAAAAUAAAAACACUAAAAAUGCUAGCGUUAAAAAUACGGACACUAAAACUAUUAGUGACAAACACGUGAACAAAAAGCACACAAACGAUAGGUGCAUAAACGACAACCGCUCAAAUGGAAGCUCGAAUAACCGCUGGAACGACGAUAAGUACGAAGAACUACAAAAACAACUGAUCACUGAAGCCUUUGAUGAUGAUAUUGUAAUUUUAGUGUUCUCUAAUUUUGUUAAAAAGGCAAAUAAUAAAACCAAAAUAGUACAUUGCUGGUUUGAUUUUUUAUUAAUAUCGUUGCAGAAUAUAUCGAACACGUUAAAUGAUGGGCUAAAUGAAUUAUAUACAUGUAGUAAAAAUAGUAAUGAUAACAAAAGCAAGAACAAUAAAGACAACAAUAAUAAACAAUGUAACUACCUUUUCCAAAAUGGAUGUUUACACAUAAAAAAAGAGAAUAACAAUAUUCUUUCCCAAACCAAUUAUC